This 253-nucleotide ribosomal RNA is filed under the name uncultured bacterium. RNAcentral's name for it is "partial 16S ribosomal RNA". It matches the Rfam family "Bacterial small subunit ribosomal RNA", at positions 524 to 776 of the family's 1533-position model. The record is from RNAcentral.
UACAGAGGGUGCAAGCGUUAAUCGGAAUUACUGGGCGUAAAGGGUGCGUAGGCGGUUAUAUAAGUUAGAUGUGAAAUCCCCAGGCUUAACCUGGGAACUGCGUUUAAUACUGUGUAGCUAGAGUACUGAAGAGGUUAGUGGAAUUUCCAGUGUAGCGGUGAAAUGCGUAGAUAUUGGAAGGAACACCAGUGGCGAAGGCGACUAACUGGUCAAAUACUGACGCUGAGGCACGAAAGCGUGGGGAGCAAACAGG